UUUGAAAAAAUCUUAAAAUUAAAUUUAAAUAUGAGAAAACAUGUUGAACUUAUGAUAACGCACGAGUUACAUACCUAAAAGACGGGAUGUUAAAUCUAACCGUUCCAGUAUUUAAAUUUA
RNAcentral lists this small RNA (120 nucleotides) under Arabidopsis thaliana (thale cress). Its description in RNAcentral is "ATSL237250". Lineage: Eukaryota; Viridiplantae; Streptophyta; Magnoliopsida; Brassicales; Brassicaceae. The record is from RNAcentral.